GAUGAAGAACGCAGCGAAAUGCGAUAAGUAAUGUGAAUUGCAGAAUUCAGUGAAUCAUCGAAUCUUUGAACGCACAUUGCGCCCAUUAGUAUUCUAGUGGGCAUGCCUGUUCGAGCGUCAUUAAGUCCACUUAAGCCCUGCUUAGUGUUGGGAGACUGCUCCAGCGGUGCUACCCUGUAGCUACCCUGCAGCUCCUCAAAGACAGCGGCGGAGUUGUGGUAUCCUCUGAGCUUAGUAUCUUGUUCUAGCUUUCGAGUACACCACUUCCCCUGCCGUAAAACCCUUAAUUUUUAAUGGUUGACCUCGGAUCAGGUAGGAAUACCGCUGAACUUAAGCAUAUCAAUAAGCGGAGGA
This 354-nucleotide unclassified non-coding RNA is filed under the name soil metagenome. RNAcentral's name for it is "partial contains 5.8S ribosomal RNA, internal transcribed spacer 2, and large subunit ribosomal RNA". The stretch from base 1 to 120 matches the Rfam family "5.8S ribosomal RNA", at positions 35 to 154 of the family's 154-position model. The record is from RNAcentral.